RNAcentral lists this ribosomal RNA (481 nucleotides) under uncultured bacterium. Its description in RNAcentral is "partial 16S ribosomal RNA". It matches the Rfam family "Bacterial small subunit ribosomal RNA", at positions 28 to 507 of the family's 1533-position model. The record is from RNAcentral.
GAUGAACGCUGGCGGCGUGCUUAACACAUGCAAGUCGAACGAAGCACCUUAUUUGAUUUCCCUCGGGACUGAUUAUUUUGUGACUGAGUGGCGGACGGGUGAGUAACGCGUGGGUAACCUGCCUUGUACAGGGGGGUAAAAGUUGGAAACGGCUGCUAAUACCGCAUAAGCGCACAGCAUCGCAUGAUGCAGUGGGAAAAACUCCGGUGGUAUAAGAUGGACCCGCGUUGGAUUAGCUAGUUGGUGAGGUAACGGCCCACCAAGGCGACGAUCCAUAGCCGACCUGAGAGGGUGACCGGCCACAUUGGGACUGAGACACGGCCCAAACUCCUACGGGAAGCAGCAGUGGGGAAUAUUGCACAAUGGGCGAAAGCCUGAUGCAGCGACGCCGCGUGAGCGAAGAAGUAUUUCGGUAUGUAAAGCUCUAUCAGCAGGGAAGAUAAUGACGGUACCUGACUAAGAAGCACCGGCUAAAUACGUG